RNAcentral lists this ribosomal RNA (864 nucleotides) under uncultured bacterium. RNAcentral's name for it is "bacterial SSU rRNA". It matches the Rfam family "Bacterial small subunit ribosomal RNA", at positions 638 to 1501 of the family's 1533-position model. The record is from RNAcentral.
AGGCUAGAGUGCAGGAGAGGAAGGGUGGAUUCCCGGGUGUAGCGGUGAAAUGCGUAGAGAUCGGGAGGAAUACCAGUGGCGAAGGCGGCCUUCUGGACUGACACUGACGCUGAGGCGCGAAAGCGUGGGUAGCAAACAGGAUUAGAUACCCUGGUAGUCCACGCCGUAAACGAUGUCGACCAGCCGUUGGACCCCUUGAGGGUCUGGUGGCGCAGUUAACGCAAUAAGUCGACCGCCUGGGGAGUACGGCCGCAAGGCUAAAACUCAAAUGAAUUGACGGGGGCCCGCACAAGCGGUGGAGCAUGUGGUUUAAUUCGAUGCAACGCGAAGAACCUUACCUGCCCUUGACAUCCUGCGAACCCGGAAGAGAUUCCGGGGUGCCUUCGGGAACGCAGAGACAGGUGCUGCAUGGCUGUCGUCAGCUCGUGUUGUGAAAUGUUGGGUUAAGUCCCGUAACGAGCGCAACCCCUAUCCCUUUUUGCCAGCGGUCCGGCCGGGAACUUCAGGGAGACUGCCGGUGACAAACCGGAGGAAGGUGGGGACGACGUCAAGUCAUCAUGGCCCUUACGGGCAGGGCUACACACGUGCUACAAUGGCCGGUACAAAGGGUUGCGAAGCGGCGACGUGAAGCCAAUCCCAUAAAGCCGGCCUCAGUCCGGAUCGGAGUCUGCAACUCGACUCCGUGAAGUCGGAAUCGCUAGUAAUCGUGGAUCAGAAUGCCACGGUGAAUACGUUCCCGGGCCUUGUACACACCGCCCGUCACACCAUGGGAGUGGACUGCACCAGAAGUGGUUAGCUUAACCUUCGGGAGAGCGAUCACCACGGUGUGGUUCAUGACUGGGGUGAAGUCGUAACAAGGUAACC